GUUAUAUGGUCAAGUGAAGAAGCGCAUACGGUGGAUGCCUUGGCAGUCAGAGGCGAUGAAAGACGUGGUAGCCUGCGAAAAGCUUCGGGGAGUCGGCAAACAGACUUUGAUCCGGAGAUCUCUGAAUGGGGGAACCCACCUAGGAUAACCUAGGUAUCUUGUACUGAAUCCAUAGGUGCAAGAGGCGAACCAGGGGAACUGAAACAUCUAAGUACCCUGAGGAAAAGAAAUCAACCGAGAUUCCCUUAGUAGUGGCGAGCGAACGGGGAUUAGCCCUUAAGCUUCAUUGAUUUUAGCGGAACGCUCUGGAAAGUGCGGCCAUAGUGGGUGAUAGCCCCGUACGCGAAAGGAUCUUUGAAGUGAAAUCGAGUAGGACGGAGCACGAGAAACUUUGUCUGAACAUGGGGGGACCAUCCUCCAAGGCUAAAUACUACUGACUGACCGAUAGUGAACCAGUACCGUGAGGGAAAGGCGAAAAAGAACCCCGGAGAGGGGAGUGAAAUAGAACCUGAAACCGUAUGCGUACAAGCAGUGGGAGCCUACUUGUUAGGUGACUGCGUACCUUUUGUAUAAUGGGUCAGCGACUUAUAUUCAGUGGCAAGCUUAACCGUAUAGGGUAGGCGUAGCGAAAGCGAGUCUUAAUAGGGCGUUUAGUCGCUGGGUAUAGACCCGAAACCGGGCGAUCUAUCCAUGAGCAGGUUGAAGGUUAGGUAACACUGACUGGAGGACCGAACCCACUCCCGUUGAAAAGGUAGGGGAUGACUUGUGGAUCGGAGUGAAAGGCUAAUCAAGCUCGGAGAUAGCUGGUUCUCCUCGAAAGCUAUUUAGGUAGCGCCUCAUGUAUCACUCUGGGGGGGUAGAGCACUGUUUCGGCUAGGGGGUCAUCCCGACUUACCAAACCGAUGCAAACUCCGAAUACCCAGAAGUGCCGAGCAUGGGAGACACACGGCGGGUGCUAACGUCCGUCGUGAAAAGGGAAACAACCCAGACCGCCAGCUAAGGUCCCAAAGUUGUGGUUAAGUGGUAAACGAUGUGGGAAGGCUUAGACAGCUAGGAGGUUGGCUUAGAAGCAGCCACCCUUUAAAGAAAGCGUAAUAGCUCACUAGUCGAGUCGGCCUGCGCGGAAGAUGUAACGGGGCUCAAACCACACACCGAAGCUGCGGGUGUCACGUAAGUGACGCGGUAGAGGAGCGUUCUGUAAGCCUGUGAAGGUGAGUUGAGAAGCUUGCUGGAGGUAUCAGAAGUGCGAAUGCUGACAUGAGUAACGACAAUGGGUGUGAAAAAACACCCACGCCGAAAGACCAAGGGUUCCUGCGCAACGUUAAUCGACGCAGGGUUAGUCGGUUCCUAAGGCGAGGCUGAAAAGCGUAGUCGAUGGGAAACAGGUUAAUAUUCCUGUACUUCUGGUUACUGCGAUGGAGGGACGGAGAAGGCUAGGCCAGCUUGGCGUUGGUUGUCCAAGUUUAAGGUGGUAGGCUGAAAUCUUAGGUAAAUCCGGGGUUUCAAGGCCGAGAGCUGAUGACGAGUCGUCUUUUAGAUGACGAAGUGGUUGAUGCCAUGCUUCCAAGAAAAGCUUCUAAGCUUCAGGUAACCAGGAACCGUACCCCAAACCGACACAGGUGGUCGGGUAGAGAAUACCAAGGCGCUUGAGAGAACUCGGGUGAAGGAACUAGGCAAAAUGGCACCGUAACUUCGGGAGAAGGUGCGCCGGCUAGGGUGAAGGAUUUACUCCGUAAGCCCUGGCUGGUCGAAGAUACCAGGCCGCUGCGACUGUUUAUUAAAAACACAGCACUCUGCAAACACGAAAGUGGACGUAUAGGGUGUGACGCCUGCCCGGUGCCGGAAGGUUAAUUGAUGGGGUUAGCGCAAGCGAAGCUCUUGAUCGAAGCCCCGGUAAACGGCGGCCGUAACUAUAACGGUCCUAAGGUAGCGAAAUUCCUUGUCGGGUAAGUUCCGACCUGCACGAAUGGCGUAACGAUGGCGGCGCUGUCUCCACCCGAGACUCAGUGAAAAUUGAAAUCGCUGUGAAGAUGCAGUGUAUCCGCGGCUAGACGGAAAAGACCCCGUGAACCUUUACUGUAGCUUUGCACUGGACUUUGAGCCUGCUUGUGUAGGAUAGGUGGGAGGCUUUGAAGCGUGGACGCCAGUUCGCGUGGAGCCAUCCUUGAAAUACCACCCUGGCAUGCUUGAGGUUCUAACUCUGGUCCGUGAUCCGGAUCGAGGACAGUGUAUGGUGGGCAGUUUGACUGGGGCGGUCUCCUCCUAAAGAGUAACGGAGGAGUACGAAGGUGCGCUCAGACCGGUCGGAAAUCGGUCGUAGAGUAUAAAGGCAAAAGCGCGCUUGACUGCGAGACAGACACGUCGAGCAGGUACGAAAGUAGGUCUUAGUGAUCCGGUGGUUCUGUAUGGAAGGGCCAUCGCUCAACGGAUAAAAGGUACUCCGGGGAUAACAGGCUGAUACCGCCCAAGAGUUCAUAUCGACGGCGGUGUUUGGCACCUCGAUGUCGGCUCAUCACAUCCUGGGGCUGAAGCCGGUCCCAAGGGUAUGGCUGUUCGCCAUUUAAAGUGGUACGCGAGCUGGGUUUAGAACGUCGUGAGACAGUUCGGUCCCUAUCUGCCGUGGACGUUUGAGAUUUGAGAGGGGCUGCUCCUAGUACGAGAGGACCGGAGUGGACGAACCUCUGGUGUUCCGGUUGUCACGCCAGUGGCAUUGCCGGGUAGCUAUGUUCGGAAAAGAUAACCGCUGAAAGCAUCUAAGCGGGAAACUUGCCUCAAGAUGAGAUCUCACUGGGAACUUGAUUCCCCUGAAGGGCCGUCGAAGACUACGACGUUGAUAGGCUGGGUGUGUAAGCGUUGUGAGGCGUUGAGCUAACCAGUACUAAUUGCCCGUGAGGCUUGACCAUAUAACACCCAAACA
RNAcentral lists this ribosomal RNA (2917 nucleotides) under Pseudomonas aeruginosa. RNAcentral describes it as "bacterial LSU rRNA". It matches the Rfam family "Bacterial large subunit ribosomal RNA". The record is from RNAcentral. Lineage: Bacteria; Pseudomonadati; Pseudomonadota; Gammaproteobacteria; Pseudomonadales; Pseudomonadaceae.